This 76-nucleotide transfer RNA is filed under the name Rhodoferax sp. RNAcentral describes it as "tRNA-Thr". It matches the Rfam family "tRNA". Rfam says of the family: Transfer RNA (tRNA) molecules are approximately 80 nucleotides in length. RNAcentral also lists the same sequence under 5 other names. Lineage: Bacteria; Pseudomonadati; Pseudomonadota; Betaproteobacteria; Burkholderiales; Comamonadaceae. The record is from RNAcentral.
GCCGCUGUAGCUCAGCUGGUAGAGCACAUCAUUCGUAAUGAUGGGGUCGGGGGUUCGAAUCCCUUCAGCGGCACCA